This 448-nucleotide ribosomal RNA is filed under the name uncultured bacterium. RNAcentral's name for it is "bacterial SSU rRNA". It matches the Rfam family "Bacterial small subunit ribosomal RNA", at positions 28 to 458 of the family's 1533-position model. The record is from RNAcentral.
GAUGAACGCUGGCGGCGUGCUUAACACAUGCAAGUCGAGCGAAGCGCUUUGGAAAGAUUCUUCGGAUGAUUUCCUUUGUGACUGAGCGGCGGACGGGUGAGUAACGCGUGGGUAACCUGCCUCAUACAGGGGGAUAACAGUUAGAAAUGACUGCUAAUACCGCAUAAGACCACGGUACCGCAUGGUACAGUGGUAAAAACUCCGGUGGUAUGAGAUGGACCCGCGUCUGAUUAGGUAGUUGGUGGGGUAACGGCCUACCAAGCCGACGAUCAGUAGCCGACCUGAGAGGGUGACCGGCCACAUUGGGACUGAGACACGGCCCAGACUCCUACGGGAGGCAGCAGUGGGGAAUAUUGCACAAUGGAGGAAACUCUGAUGCAGCGACGCCGCGUGAAGGAUGAAGUAUUUCGGUAUGUAAACUUCUAUCAGCAGGGAAGAAAAUGACGGU